RNAcentral lists this ribosomal RNA (500 nucleotides) under uncultured bacterium. RNAcentral describes it as "partial 16S ribosomal RNA". It matches the Rfam family "Bacterial small subunit ribosomal RNA", at positions 30 to 523 of the family's 1533-position model. The record is from RNAcentral.
AUUGAACGCUGGCGUCAUGCCUUACACAUGCAAGUCGAACGGCAGCACGGGAGCAAUCCUGGUGGCGAGUGGCGAACGGGUGAGUAAAGUAUCGGAACGUGCCCAGUCGUGGGGGAUAACGUAGCGAAAGUUACGCUAAUACCGCAUACGAUCUAUGGAUGAAAGCGGGGGAUCGCAAGACCUCGCGCGAUUGGAGCGGCCGAUAUCAGAUUAGGUAGUUGGUGGGGUAAAGGCUCACCAAGCCGACGAUCUGUAGCUGGUCUGAGAGGACGACCAGCCACACUGGGACUGAGACACGGCCCAGACUCCUACGGGAGGCAGCAGUGGGGAAUUUUGGACAAUGGGCGCAAGCCUGAUCCAGCAAUGCCGCGUGCAGGAAGAAGGCCUUCGGGUUGUAAACUGCUUUUGUACGGAGCGAAAAGGCUUUCUCUAAUACAGGAGGCUGAUGACGGUACCGUAAGAAUAAGCACCGGCUAACUACGUGCCAGCCGCCGCGGUAA